UUGCAAAGCACUCUGAAAAGAGGGUGAAAAGAACCUGAAACCGUUAUGUUGAGAGCGUAUUGCAGCAGAGUGAAGGGUGCGUUUUGUUCAGCUUGCGCUUGCGUAGGUGUACUCGGAACGUUAUCCGCCAGUCGUGAGCUUUCGGUGGCUGAUCCAUAGUCGCUGGAGGUGGAGGGCUCCCCUUUAUGGGUUGAGGACGAAUCUGGAUAAUGCUGUGAUUCGACCCGUCUUGAAACACGGACCAAGAAGUCUAGCGUGCAUGCGAGUCAAAGGGUGUAAAAACCUGUGGGCGCAGUGAAAGCGAUUUUAAAACGUUGCAGUUUGAGGCGGCAUACGAUCGUUGAUUGUAGGUCUGACCCCGAGCAUGUAUGAUAGGACCCGAAAGAUGGUGAACUAUGCUUGAGUAGGGUGAAGCCAGGAGAAAUCCUGGUGGAAGCUCGUAGCGGUGCUGACGUGCAAAUCGCUCGUCUAACUUGAGUAUAGGGGCGAAAGACUAAUCGAACCAUCUGGUAGCUGGUUUCCUCCGAAGUUUCUCUCAGGAUAGCGGACCGAAUAUAGUGUUGUUGUGUGC
Molecule: ribosomal RNA, 571 nt
Filed under: Vertebrata nigra
Lineage: Eukaryota; Rhodophyta; Florideophyceae; Ceramiales; Rhodomelaceae
Description: eukaryotic LSU rRNA
Rfam family: Eukaryotic large subunit ribosomal RNA
Source: RNAcentral